This 128-nucleotide long non-coding RNA is filed under the name Cotesia glomerata. RNAcentral describes it as "uncharacterized LOC123259597". The record is from RNAcentral. Lineage: Eukaryota; Metazoa; Arthropoda; Insecta; Hymenoptera; Braconidae.
UUUGUUUGUUAAUGAAUAUUUUUUAACUUUAAACGAAUCAACAACAAGAAUAAUAGCCUCCCGUAACUCCGAAAGUAACCACUGCGAACGCUUCAGUCGAUUUCAUUUCCCCUACCAUGGCUUCACUC